GAUGAACGCUAGCGGGAGGCCUAACACAUGCAAGCCGAGCGGGAUUUGUUGGUUAGCUUGCUAACUAACAAUGAGAGCGGCGUACGGGUGCGUAGCACGUGUGCAACCUGCCUUUAUCUGGGGGAUAGCCUUUCGAAAGGAAGAUUAAUACCCCAUAACAUAUUGAUUGGCAUCAGUUAAUAUUGAAAGCUCCGGCGGUUAGAGAUGGGCACGCGUAAGAUUAGCUAGUUGGUGAGGUAACGGCUCACCAAGGCUGCGAUCUUUAGGGGGCCUGAGAGGGUGAUCCCCCACACUGGUACUGAGACACGGACCAGACUCCUACGGGAGGCAGCAGUGAGGAAUAUUGGACAAUGGGUGAGAGCCUGAUCCAGCCAUCCCGCGUGAAGGACUAAGGACCUAUGGUUUGUAAACUUCUUUUAUACAGGGAUAAACCUACUCUCGUGAGGGUAGCUGAAGGUACUGUAUGAAUAAGCACCGGCUAACUCCGUG
RNAcentral lists this ribosomal RNA (489 nucleotides) under uncultured bacterium. Its description in RNAcentral is "partial 16S ribosomal RNA". It matches the Rfam family "Bacterial small subunit ribosomal RNA", at positions 28 to 507 of the family's 1533-position model. The record is from RNAcentral.